Molecule: non-coding RNA, 312 nt
Filed under: Vibrio nigripulchritudo
Lineage: Bacteria; Pseudomonadati; Pseudomonadota; Gammaproteobacteria; Vibrionales; Vibrionaceae
Source: RNAcentral
CAUUGAACGGACUCAAUCGUUAUUAGGAUGAUAACGGCAAGGAAGGCAAUGGACACCUCUAGGAUGAGGAAUGGAACUGGCAUCAGGACGAUGAAAGGGACACCGCUCAAGGAACAAGUGAGUGCGCUAACGAGGAUUGUUAGCAGAUCAGGAUAAGAUCAUUGGACACCGCUAGGACGGCGAUGAAAAGGAUUGUGCUGAAGGACACAGCGCUGCUAUCAAGGAUUUGAUGCAUGGAGCAACAUUAGUAGCCGGAUUGCUGCGAGUAAGAUUAUAACCCCGAUGGGCUUUGCCCUCGGGGUUUUUCUUUAU